RNAcentral lists this transfer RNA (72 nucleotides) under Ovis aries (sheep). It matches the Rfam family "tRNA". Rfam says of the family: Transfer RNA (tRNA) molecules are approximately 80 nucleotides in length. Their secondary structure includes four short double-helical elements and three loops (D, anti-codon, and T loops). Lineage: Eukaryota; Metazoa; Chordata; Mammalia; Artiodactyla; Bovidae. The record is from Rfam by way of RNAcentral.
UCCUUGGUCGCUAAGAUGGUAAAGAAUCUGCUUGCAAUGCAGAAGACCUGGGUUCGAUUCCUGGGUCAGGAA